RNAcentral lists this ribosomal RNA (207 nucleotides) under uncultured bacterium. Its description in RNAcentral is "partial 16S ribosomal RNA". It matches the Rfam family "Bacterial small subunit ribosomal RNA", at positions 568 to 774 of the family's 1533-position model. The record is from RNAcentral.
CGCGUAGGCGGCCUGAUAAGUAGGGGGUGAAAUCCUGCGGCUUAACUGCAGGGCUGCCUCCUAGACUGUCGGGCUCGAGCACGGUAGAGGCAGAUGGAAUUCCCGGUGUAGCGGUGGAAUGCGUAGAGAUCGGGAAGAGCAUCGGUGGCGAAGGCGGUCUGCUGGGCCGUUGCUGACGCUGAGGCGCGACAGCGUGGGGAGCAAGCA